Molecule: ribosomal RNA, 433 nt
Filed under: uncultured bacterium
Lineage: Bacteria
Description: partial 16S ribosomal RNA
Rfam family: Bacterial small subunit ribosomal RNA
Source: RNAcentral
AACGAACGCUGGCGGCAUGCCUAACACAUGCAAGUCGAACGAGACCUUCGGGUCUAGUGGCGCACGGGUGCGUAACGCGUGGGAACCUGCCCUUAGGUUCGGAAUAACUCCCCGAAAGGGGUGCUAAUACCGGAGCAUGUCUUCGGACCAAAGAUUUAUCGCCUUUGGAUGGGCCUGAGUUGGCUUAGCUUGUUGUUAGGGUAAAAGCCUACCAAGGCUAGGAUACAUAGCUGGGCAGAGAGGAUGGUAAGCCACACUGGGCGUGGGACACGGCCCAGACUACUACGGGAGGGGGGAAUGGGGGAUAUUGGAAAAUGGGCGGAAGGCUGAACCAGCCAGGCCGGGAGAGUGAUGAAGGUCGUAGGGUUGUAAAGCUCUUUUACCCGUGAUGAUAAUGACAGUACCGGGAGAAUAAGCUCCGGCUAACUCCGUG